ACGAAGGGGGCGAGCGUUGUUCGGAUUUACUGGGCGUAAAGGGCGCGCAGGCGGCGACAUUUGUCAGGCGUGAAAUCCCUCGGCUUAACCGGGGAACUGCGUCUGAUACUGGAUGGCUUGAGGUUGGGAGAGGGAUGCGGAAUUCCAGGUGUAGCGGUGAAAUGCGUAGAUAUCUGGAGGAACACCGGUGGCGAAGGCGGCAUCCUGGACCAAUUCUGACGCUGAGGAGCGAAAGCCAGGGGAGCAAACGGGA
RNAcentral lists this ribosomal RNA (253 nucleotides) under uncultured prokaryote. RNAcentral describes it as "partial 16S ribosomal RNA". It matches the Rfam family "Bacterial small subunit ribosomal RNA", at positions 525 to 777 of the family's 1533-position model. The record is from RNAcentral.